This 261-nucleotide ribosomal RNA is filed under the name uncultured prokaryote. Its description in RNAcentral is "partial 16S ribosomal RNA". It matches the Rfam family "Bacterial small subunit ribosomal RNA", at positions 524 to 784 of the family's 1533-position model. The record is from RNAcentral.
UACGGAGGAUCCGAGCGUUAUCCGGAUUUAUUGGGUUUAAAGGGUGCGCAGGCGGGAUGUUAAGUCGGCGGUGAAGUUUUGCAGUUCAACUGUAAAAGUGCCUUCGAUACUGGCUUUCUUGAGUGUGGAUGAAGUAGGCGGAAUUUGUGGUGUAGCGGUGAAAUGCUUAGAUAUCACGAGGAACUCCGAUUGCGCAGGCAGCUUACUAAACCACUACUGACGCUCAUGCACGAAGGCGUGGGGAUCAAACAGGAUUAGAUA